UUGACCGCUCAUGACCAAUAUCUCUAGUUAGAGGACAUUUCACUGAACGAAAUGAGAAUACAGGUCAUUUUUUGGGUCCUUUUGAUUUUCAAAGGAGCUGCGAUGGCUUCACCCUGUUUGCACGGUUUCCCAAAGCAGUAUACAUUUCCCUUCAGUUGGUUUGUGGGCUUCUGGAUGUUUUUGCCUCUCUUCUCUGGACUUAGCGAGAGAAAAAAAAUGCAGGACGUCUUUGGGAUCCUGUUGAUGUUCACAGGAGCUGCAUCAGGUUUGCUGUUUCAGGAUCCUGUUGUCUGUAGAUUUAAUGAGAGUAGUCUGUGUUAUGUAGCUCUGGGACAACGACUGCACCUGCAAAUUCCCCUGGAGUAUAGGUUUGAACUAAAGAUCACAGACAAGACAUCUACCACUCGUUCCAUUUUAAGAUAUAUAAAAACCCAAAGUGACCCACCAAAACCAAAUGACCCAAGAUGGCAGUUUGAUAAAGAUAAAACUAUAAUACUAACCAGUGCAGAGAGGAGCGACUCUGGAACAUACACUUUAGACACCUUUGAUGCAAACGGAAAUAAUAAAGGCAGUUAUACUCUCCAGCUGUACAUUGAAGCUAAGGUGUCCUCAGUGAGCAUCCAGUACAACUGCUUGUUCCCUGAGGUCAGGAAAGUGCACUGUUCUGCUGAUGGAGACAACCUCCAGUUCAGCUGGACUUCUGAAUCAACCAUACGGUUGGAGAAUGAGAACAGCACUCUCGUACUGGAUAAAAAUAAUGAUGGAAAUGUCACCUGCCAUGUCGAAAAUCACGUCAGCCGUGACAACAAUUCCAUUGAACUCCAGUCAUGUCCCAAUUUCACUCUGAUUAUCCUGAGCUUGGUUUGUGUGCUUCUCAUUGUACUAUCGGUCUUAGCGUUCUACAUAUACAAGAGACUAGGCCUAUGGAAAAAAGGUCAGAAGGACCCUUCUCAGGAUGGCAAGGAGCUUGUGUAUGCGGACAUCACCCAUUUACCCACGAACAAGACAGAGACAAGACCAACUACAUCACAAGCUCAGGACAAGGACAUGGAGUAUGCCACGGUGGUCACUCAUCCCAGCCAGAGGAACCAGAAGAAGAACGAGGAAGAGGUGCAGUAUGGCAAGCUGGUGUUUAACACGCCUGACCAAAAAAAGAGCGUGAUGCCCAAAGUGCAAGAAGAGUGUGUGUACUCACAGGUCCAGCAUGGUCAAUAAGGGACACACUCUUAGCCUGUCUCGGUAUGUAUUUUAUUGCAAGAUCAUUCUGGUAGAGGAAGUAGCUGUUGAUGACAUUUCACCCAUACACACUCAUCUCUUACCCAAAAUCAAACCAUUUCACUAUCUGAUUAUCUAAUUACUAAAUCUUUUAGGCUGCAUACAAGCACAGUGGUUAGUGUUUCAUAAAGUGGGUACCAAAAAGGAAUGAAUGAAUUUAUGUAAUUUUCUAUUUAAAUGUAAUGUUUUGCAGUUGCCAUUUUACGUCCAUUCCACUAGGAUGAAAUGAAACCGUGUAUUGAGUGCUGAGUUCCUAGGCUUUUUUCCCCAAAGGCAUUUGUGACUCAGUAUCAUUUCACUAAUGAAGAGAAAAUAAAUGGGAUCUUCCUUCUUGCAGCUUUAAGUGUUGAACUUAAGACACAGCUGUGGCUUCAUGGACAGCUCACACACUGCUCUUUGAGUUGCUCCAUCUUUCAAAACCAACAUUUCUGCUUCUCAGUUUAAAACAAAAUGACACCUUGUCACUGUGGUCAAGUGCUGUACAUAAGAAGUGUGUAAAUUAUUCUACGAGGUUGUUUUCUACCAUUUAAAAAAUGUUACAUGGAUAAAAUGAAUGGUUAAAAUGUCAAAUUGUUCAGUUGUAAAUGGAUUUUCAGCUUAUGAUGUCUAAAACUUUCAGUUUGUGAAAUUGUGUGUGAAAUCAUGCCUUAAGAAUUGACACCUGAUGUUUACUCUCUUGCUAAACACAUGGGCAGAAAAAGCAUCAGCCAAGUCAGAGAUAUUAUUUUUUUAAUUUUAUUUUUAAUUUUUUUUUUAAAGCUAUAAAUGUGUAUAGAUGGAUGUAUUAUAUUUCACAUUGCCUUGGUUGCAUUGUCAAUUUCAAACUUGUAUCUUUGUAUUAUAUUGCAAUAAUUAAUGGAAAACCUAUUCCUGUAACUAUGCAGAGCCUCUGUUAGUACAUUUAUUCUUGAGUAAAGCAGUGUUUUACAGUGUUGCACUGUUACCUUCUCUGGAAAAUGAAAAGAGGAUGGAACGCACUUGCCUGCAUAUGCAAACAUGUUCAUGCAGACCAUUUAUUUGCGUCAUAAUUAUCCCAGCUUGUGUGGUUGGUGGAGAGCAAUUGCAGUGCUUGGUUCUAAAAAUUAAAGAAAUAAGGGUGUUGUCAUCAGGGAGUGUUGGUGUUACUGACACCAAAUAGGGUCAUUUAAAAAAAAAAAAAAAUGAAUAUCACAAUCAUUCUUUAACAGUUGAUUGCUGAUAUUCCUAUCCUUUAAGGUUUUUUUUGCAUUGGAAGUUUAAAAAAAUUACAUAGGAUUAAGAUCAAAUGGGUGGGUAGUAUUAAUAAACUUGAUGAUUACACAAGGUAGUAAGCACUCAGCUUACAAUUUGUGAUAUAAAAGUGUAUAUAUGUGAAGGAGACUAUUUGCUGACACACUUUUCAUAACUUGGUUAAAUAAAUUGUUCCUCUUUUUUUGUUGAACCAAUCUAGAUGAGUUAAUGGCAUAGUUUAAGGUUUUAAAACUGUACUGAAUUUUUACAGAAAAAAUACCUAUGCAUAAAUUGUUUGUUCUUAAUUCCCAGAAUGCCUCUACUGACUCUAUUAUUCAUGUUUAUUUAUCAACGGCAUUUAUACAAUGAUAUUUAAGAUUUGCUGGCAACUUUUGCAUGGCAGUAAUGAGUAUGAGAGUGCUGAAAAGCUGC
Ictalurus punctatus (channel catfish) is the source of this 2916-nucleotide long non-coding RNA. Lineage: Eukaryota; Metazoa; Chordata; Actinopteri; Siluriformes; Ictaluridae. The record is from Ensembl.